UACGUAGGUGGCAAGCGUUGUCCGGAAUUAUUGGGCGUAAAGCGCGCGCAGGCGGUUCCUUAAGUCUGAUGUGAAAGCCCACGGCUCAACCGUGGAGGGUCAUUGGAAACUGGGGAACUUGAGUGCAGAAGAGGAAAGUGGAAUUCCACGUGUAGCGGUGAAAUGCGUAGAGAUGUGGAGGAACACCAGUGGCGAAGGCGACUUUCUGGGCUGUAACUGACGCUGAGGCGCGAAAACGUGGGGAGCAAACAGG
RNAcentral lists this ribosomal RNA (253 nucleotides) under uncultured bacterium. Its description in RNAcentral is "partial 16S ribosomal RNA". It matches the Rfam family "Bacterial small subunit ribosomal RNA", at positions 524 to 776 of the family's 1533-position model. The record is from RNAcentral.